Molecule: ribosomal RNA, 462 nt
Filed under: uncultured bacterium
Lineage: Bacteria
Description: partial 16S ribosomal RNA
Rfam family: Bacterial small subunit ribosomal RNA
Source: RNAcentral
GAUGAACGCUGACAGAAUGCUUAACACAUGCAAGUCUUUGGCGAAGCUGUGCUUGCACAGCCUAGCCAAGGCGGACGGGUGAGUAACGCGUAAGGAACUUGCCCUGCAGUCAGGGAUAACAGACGGAAACGACUGAUAAGACCUGGUAAAGUCAGGCGGACUCAUGUCCAGCCUGAUGAAAAGAGAUGCUGCAGGAGAGCCUUGCGUCCUAUUAGCUUGUUGGUGGGGUAACGGCCCACCAAGGCGAUGAUAGGUAGCCGGCCUGAGAGGGUGGACGGCCACAAGGGGACUGAGAUACGGCCCUUACUCCUACGGGAGGCAGCAGUGGGGAAUAUUGGACAAUGGGGGCAACCCUGAGCCAGCAAUUCUGUGUGCACGAUGAAGGUUUUCGGAUUGUAAAGUGCUUUCAGCAGGGAAGAAAAAAAUGAGGUACCUGCAGAAGAAGCGACGGCUAAAUACGUG